UUCCUCCCACCCACCGAUCCGACUCCUAACCCGGCGGAAAUUCCCCUAUGGAUGUAUCAUGUGCUUAAUGUCCAUUUAGUUCAUUGCUCUUCUGGGCUAGUUACUUCGGCGGUAGGUCUGUCGAGCUUUUGGUUUAUGUAGUUUGGUGGGUGGGUUUACCAGGGUUUAAGAGAUUCUACAGGAAGGUGAUCACCAGUUGUGGUAUUUACGUUUAUGUUUUCAGCGGGGAGCGCAAUGCGAUGUGAGAGAUGAUUAUUCGGUUCAAUGAGCCUACUCUUAUUUGGCAGCAGUUAUAUGGAUUUCCCCAUUUUGUUGUGAUGUGCCAUGUGUGAGUUGCGAUGGGAACAUCUUCGGGAAUAGGUAUUAUAUCCAUAAGAAUGUCUAUAUGGCUCUCUAGCACUGCCCCUAGUGCUUCUGACCGGCACUAUUAGUCAUUGUAAACAAGCAACAUUGCACAUAGUUAGCACCUUGCGAGAACAUUCACCUACUGGAAACUGAUUAGAUGUGUUCUGUAGAUUCAGCUUGUACUUGCAGUGUUUUAUAUGUGGUUUGUCCUGUUGGUUGUUUUGCUUUUGCCUGAGGCCCCUUGACUGUGAGGUUAUGUUGGCAAUUGGUGCUUGAUGUGUGUACUAGGAUGAGCAUUGAAUCUAAGUGUAAUUACUUGAGGCAUAGGUGCUAUCUUAUUUGAGAAAUGUGUACAUGCCUCUUCAGUACCGGUUAGUUACGAAUAUUUACUGUUAUAUAAUUUAUUCAUCCUACUUCAGAAUUGUACUUCAUAGGCUGUGCAAGCGCCAAUCAGUAGUGAACUUUUUAUAAAAGACAGUCAACAGGGAGCAUAAUUAGCACUUUGUGUCAUCAAAAUGGUUGAUAGUACCAUUGUGGUGGUUAGCUCUGGUUGGUCUAUUUCAUCUCAUUACGUUACCUUUCAUGUUCUUAUGCUGUACCCUUGAUAUCUUUACAAUGAUAUUAUAUAUUUACGAAGCCUUUUAUCCCAAACAAGUUGGGGUAGGCUAGAUAUGAAACCCUUUCACGAGGACUUCCCAGGAGGUCACCCAUCCUAGUACUACUCUCGCUCAAAUGGGUUUCAUACCUAUGGGACUGGCUAGUUUUUACGUUGGCUCGCCAAGCCUAUCACAACCCUCCUCCUUUACCCGGGCUUGGGACCGGCUAUGCCUAGAAGACAUAGGCGGAGUUA
This is a non-coding RNA of Aegilops tauschii subsp. strangulata, 1195 nucleotides long. NCBI's taxonomy places the organism in Eukaryota, Viridiplantae, Streptophyta, Magnoliopsida, Poales, Poaceae. The record is from RefSeq and is a predicted model, not a curated record.